UACGGAGGAUCCAAGCGUUAUCCGGAUUUAUUGGGUUUAAAGGGUGCGUAGGCGGCUUUUUAAGUCAGGGGUGAAAGACGGUAGCUUAACUAUCGCAGUGCCCUUGAUACUGAAGAGCUUGAAUGUACUAGAAGUAGGCGGAAUAUGUCAUGUAGCGGUGAAAUGCUUAGAUAUGACAUAGAACACCUAUUGCGAAGGCAGCUUACUACGCAGAUAUUGACGCUCAUGCACGAAAGCGUGGGGAUCAAACAGG
This 253-nucleotide ribosomal RNA is filed under the name uncultured prokaryote. RNAcentral's name for it is "partial 16S ribosomal RNA". It matches the Rfam family "Bacterial small subunit ribosomal RNA", at positions 524 to 776 of the family's 1533-position model. The record is from RNAcentral.